Molecule: ribosomal RNA, 116 nt
Filed under: Aspergillus lentulus
Lineage: Eukaryota; Fungi; Ascomycota; Eurotiomycetes; Eurotiales; Aspergillaceae
Source: RNAcentral
ACGACCAUAGGGUGUGGAAAACAGGGCUUCCCGUCCGCUCAGCCGUUCUUAAGCCACACGCCGGCCGGUUAGUAGUUGGGUGGGUGACCACCAGCGAAUCCCGGCUGUUGUAUGUU